UACGUAGGUGGCAAGCGUUAUCCGGAUUUAUUGGGUUUAAAGGGUGCGUAGGCGGCGAUUUAAGUCGGUGGUGAAAGGUAGCAGCUUAACUGUUUUACAUGCUGCCGAUACUGAAUUGCUUGAGUUACCAAGAGGCAAGUAGAAUUUCCGGUGUAGCGGUGAAAUGCAUAGAUACCGGAAGGAAUACCGAUUGCGAAGGCCACUUGCUAUAGGUAAACUGACGCUGAUGCACGAAAGCGUGGGGAGCGAACAGG
Molecule: ribosomal RNA, 254 nt
Filed under: uncultured bacterium
Lineage: Bacteria
Description: partial 16S ribosomal RNA
Rfam family: Bacterial small subunit ribosomal RNA
Source: RNAcentral